UACAGAGGGUGCGAGCGUUAAUCGGAUUUACUGGGCGUAAAGCGCGCGUAGGUGGCUAAUUAAGUCAAAUGUGAAAUCCCCGAGCUUAACUUGGGAAUUGCAUUCGAUACUGGUUAGCUAGAGUAUGGGAGAGGAUGGUAGAAUUCCAGGUGUAGCGGUGAAAUGCGUAGAGAUCUGGAGGAAUACCGAUGGCGAAGGCAGCCAUCUGGCCUAAUACUGACACUGAGGUGCGAAAGCAUGGGGAGCAAGCAGG
This 253-nucleotide ribosomal RNA is filed under the name uncultured bacterium. Its description in RNAcentral is "partial 16S ribosomal RNA". It matches the Rfam family "Bacterial small subunit ribosomal RNA", at positions 524 to 776 of the family's 1533-position model. The record is from RNAcentral.